GACGAACGCUGGCGGCGUGCUUAACACAUGCAAGUCGAACGGAAAGGCCCUGCUUUUGUGGGGUGCUCGAGUGGCGAACGGGUGAGUAACACGUGAGUAACCUGCCCUUGACUUUGGGAUAACUUCAGGAAACUGGGGCUAAUACCGGAUAGGAGCUCCUGCUGCAUGGUGGGGGUUGGAAAGUUUCGGCGGUUGGGGAUGGACUCGCGGCUUAUCAGCUUGUUGGUGGGGUAGUGGCUUACCAAGGCUUUGACGGGUAGCCGGCCUGAGAGGGUGACCGGCCACAUUGGGACUGAGAUACGGCCCAGACUCCUACGGGAGGCAGCAGUGGGGAAUAUUGCACCAUGGGCGGAAGCCUGAUGCAGCAACGCCGCGUGCGGGAUGACGGCCUUCGGGUUGGAAACCGCUUUCGCCUGUGACGAAGCGUGAGUGACGGUAAUGGGUAAAGAAGCACCGGCUAACUACGUG
This 468-nucleotide ribosomal RNA is filed under the name uncultured bacterium. Its description in RNAcentral is "partial 16S ribosomal RNA". It matches the Rfam family "Bacterial small subunit ribosomal RNA", at positions 28 to 507 of the family's 1533-position model. The record is from RNAcentral.